Delphinapterus leucas (beluga whale) is the source of this 854-nucleotide non-coding RNA. The record is from RefSeq and is a predicted model, not a curated record. NCBI's taxonomy places the organism in Eukaryota, Metazoa, Chordata, Mammalia, Artiodactyla, Monodontidae.
CACUGCCACGUUUGCAGAGAUGCCACUGCUGACCGUAACUUAAGUUGGGUCACUCUAGGAAUUGGUCUGGAUAUUCGUUCCAAGUGAAUCCAUAAGAUCAUAGAUUCUGGAGAUGGAAGAGCCAUCAAGAGAGUCCUGACAAACUGUGUGGUGAUUGGAGAUAGAUAUCUGAGUCCCUGCCAGCAAAGAGAUUGAAGCAGGCAUCUUGGGGAGCUUUGGGCUCCUUGUCCCAGGGGGAACAUCAUGCAAGAAGAGGAGUCACCAUCCGGAUGAAGAUAAUUAUUUCUGAUACGGAGGAGAAAGUGCUCAGUAACGAGCUGGUGCCAGAAUUCAUCUAUCAAGGGAUUCUUCUGAUUUGGAAAGCUCACAUGUCAAGUCACUCUGAGUGGCAGGUCAUUUUGAAGCCCUGAAGGUGAUGGAAUUUUAAGACCAGGAAAGAAUCUCUUUUUGAGUCUUGGUCCAAAGGGGAAGAAUCCUGAAGUGACCCCUAGAAUUCUGGAGACUCUGGAAUGCAGACCAGCAGGAGACUGCCUUCCACUGACCAUAGUUUUCCGAGCCGCAGCUCUUCCUCGUGUUGUAUUAGAGACUCAGGAUGGAGCCUGAAAGCCUGGAGUAGAACUACAUUCUGGACGCCUUGUAUGAAACAACUGACUGAACCAGAGGUACAGAGUAAGUCUGUUUUGAGUCUGGAAGGGACCUUAUACCACUCUGUUUAAUGUCUAACCACUACCAAGACCUGGGAUCCCUCCAGUAUCAGGGGCUCGCUGCUUCUACGACUGCCUGUUCUCUGGAUGGCUUUGCUCACUGCAAUUUCUUUUCUUAUCUGAGUGCCAUUUGUCGCCGUGUAGAUUUAA